UAAAAUUACUCGGCACUAAGAUGCGUCCCUCCUCGAAGAAUAUUAUUUACCAAAAACUCAAUUUCUGAAAAUUUGGCGGUCACGUCCUUCUUCAAAUUACCUGUUGAAUUUUGUUUCGUGGCAAUGAUUUACGUAUCCUAAUUUCCAGGUAUGACUGGUCUUCCGCUGUCGGGUGGCACAGGGACCGCGAAUGCGGGGGGUGCGUGCCCUUACGCUCCCCCAACCACCCCGUACAUGUACCACCAUCGGCCCGCUGAAUCCUGCAACGUCAUGUCCUCUAGCAUAGCCUCCUUGAGACUCAAAGCCAAGCAACAUUCUUCAGGUUUCAAUUACUCACCCGCGUUAACACCUUCCAUUUCUACAACAGCUGAGAACUCCUCGACGUCGAGUCGGAACUCCUCGGCCUCCUCGAGCGGGGGCCUCUCGGCGUGCCAGUACGCCAUGCCCAUCACCCCGACCUCCGUCUCGGUCGACGCCGGCGGCAACCGCACCCCCGUCUGACAAAUGGUCUCCUCCACCAACCACCGCUACAACGUCGAGGACCUCAUCGACUUCAACAAACAACAGCAGCAGCAGCAACAGCAACCCAGCGAUGGCAAUCAGUCACUCAUCUCCGCCGCGUCCGAGUCCGAGAGCUCCGAGAGGAAGAUCUGCUCCGAUAUCAAGCAGGAAUGCCUCGAGGAGGUCGAGCAGUACUGACUUGGACGAGCGUGCCAGGCGCAGCAGCGACAGCCGGCUCAUUCUUGAAAUUUACAGACAAAGCUGUAGACAUAGCAGGACACUAGGGAUUUGGCGAAAUUCUCUCGGUGGCGCGAGUGGUUGAAAUGGACAAAUGAGAUAGAUAAUAGACUAACUAACGGCAACCCACGAGAAACCCUUCAAUGGAGAUGUUGCAUUGGUGAGGGAUUUGCGAUUUGACCAUUGAUUCUUUUGUAAAAGUUGGCGAGAAACACGGUGGUGCCACUGGUUUUCUCUGAAAUCAUCUCCCAAGCUCAAAAAAGCUCUCAAGUUGAGGCCAAAAUGGAGGGGAUAUCCCACCCUACCCUGAGAGUCCACCUCUACAUCAAAACAAACUCUCCGUGCAAAGAUAGGGAGCAAAUACAUUAGCAGGGUUGCCACUUUAUUUGGGGACUCCAAAACUGAAAACACGGCAACCCUGCUAAUGUAUUUGCUUCCUUUCUUUGCAUAGAGAGUUUGUUUUGAUGUAGAGGUGGACUCUCAGGAUAGGGUGGGAUAUCCUCUCCAUUUUGACCUCACUUUGAGAGCUUUUUUUGAGCUUGGGAGAUGAUUUCAGAGAAAACCAGUGGCGCCAUCGUGUUUCUCGCCAACUUUUACAUAGGAAUCAAUGGUCAAAUCGCAAAUCCCUCACAUAUGCAACAUCUCCAUUAGUCCUUCAUUUUCUCCCUCAGUCUUUAAGAACCACCCAAAUGAAUCAAUAGGAUCGCUCCAUACUCAUUAUGCCCUCUUUGUCUAUAGCUUUGUCUAUCAAUUUUAACAUUCCAGUGGGCCGCUUAUUGAAAUUGAUAGACAGAGCAAUAGACAAAGAAGACAAAAGGUAUAUGGAGGGAUGUGAAGGGAUCUCAUCGUGGGAGGCGAGUGGUUGGAAUGCACGAAGGAGGUAGAUAAUAGACUAACUAACGGCAACUCACGAGAGACCUUUUAGUUAGUCCUCAUUUUCUCCCUUAGUCUACAAUAACCACCCAAAUUAACCAAUAAGAUCGCUUCAUAUCUAUUAUGUCCUCUUUGUCUAUUGCUUUGUCUAUCGAUUUCAAAAAUCAGCCUGCCGGGCGUUUUCUUCGGGAGAAUCUUGAGAAAUCGAAUUGAGACAAGGUUCAUGGUAACAUCCUGGAAUCCAACAAAUUCUUGAAAGACUCGAACUCGACUCUUUUGAGAAUGUCAUUUGGUUCCGUUUCGCUACCCACUGUCCGUGUCCGAAUGAUCCUCGAUGUCUCUUGUCCCUAUCUUAAUUGAAUCGGUUUCUGUUGGACGUGCGUGAGUCCAAAAACUCAUGAACCCUAGCGCCCUGCGUGAUCAACGAAAGCCAGGGCUCAUGAAUUUUCAGAAUUACUCCCAUCGAACAGAAACCGAUUCAAUUAGUAUCCGUAUAAGUCUUCACGAGCUCCACGCUGAGUGCGUCUAAAAAUUAGGCUCUGGCAUCCCAAAAUGAUGGGCUCUGACGCCCAAAAAUUAGGGGGUCAUAAAAUUAGGAUCGCUGGCUGAACGUAGAAUCUAAAUUAUGUGUUAGUAUGCAACCUUGAUUCCUGUUGCUUUCAUGCUCCUUGAAAAAUAUCCCGCUGCUACCCAAAAGUCGCGCUCUGGCCUUUAAAAUACUAAAUAUGGCGCCUGAACACUAAGUUAAUUAGCCAAAUUGCCUCUGAAAUUUCAUGGAUGAGGUUGGAGAACUGUCAUGAAUCCUCUUUUUUUGUCUUAAGAAUCCAUCAGGCAUUCUGCCCAGACUUCCAGAGCUUGAUCCUCUCUUUAUUAUUGUAUACGUUACAGAAAACAAUAUUAAUUAGGAAAAAUGCCCAAAUUUUUAUGGCGAUGUGAAUGUAAUCUACGGGUGCAAUUGUAUGGUUUAAGUUUUCCUUUAUUUCUCUUUCUCUUCCUUCUCUCUCCCUCUCCUCCCCCCCCCUCAUUUCUUAAUUUUUCGACGAGUCAAAAAGUCCUAAGCAAUAUUAAGUCAGAAUUUUGAGGGCUAUGGAACCGGAUUAAAAAUCAGGUGACUUUUCUUCCCUCAUUCCUUAAAAAAUAUACAAAGUGCAAUAUAUUUAUUAGUAGGAAACUCUUUACCUAAAAUUGAGGUUAGUUAAUUGCGUGUUCUUGCAAACUGCAGGCGGGAAUAUGAGCCUGUAGUUUUUAUUUUUAUGGAGAUUUUCAUGGGAUGAAACGGACCAAAUGUAGUUGAAGAGAAAAACACAAAAAUAAGACUAAAGUAUAGUAUCGAUAAAACUCUAUGGCAGCACCAUUUUACAGUAUUCAUGCGCAACUACAUUUUUUCGUUGUUAUUGUUGUGAAGAAAUCUUGAAACAUUCGAUAUUUAUUUGGAUGUGUUUUAAUACAUUUUUAACUUUCCACCUUCUUCAUCUUGUCUCCUUGUUUUCAUCAGCUAUAAUCUCCUUUCCUGUCUUGAGAUGAUGAUUCGCUACCCUCAAUCUUUAAAAUACACGUUAAAGCAGUGAUAUCCAUCACUAAAGGACUUAUCAUAAAUUGAACCUAUUUUAGGAGACAGGAACUAACUUUUGAAGCUUAUUUAAGAAACAACGUAACAGCCUUCAGCCUUUGAUUUACAUCUAAAGAUUAGUUCACAGGUAGUAUUCUUCAUGUAUUUUGUUCUUUUCUGCUUAAAAACUGGCCGAUGAAAGUAACGUAAAUGUCUCAAAUCUAUGAACAUUUAUCACUAUUUGAAGCUUCAUUGGUAUCUUUUCAUGUUCAUUACAUAAAAAUAAAUUAAUUAUUUUAGUUCCUUGAAAAUGUCAUCGACCUCUCAUCACCGGUGAAAAAAUAUCCUAGUUAAAUUUUUAGCAAAAGAAUUGCUUGGUUUUCGUGCAAAAAAAUAACUUGAUAUUAGAAAUUCUGGAGCACAGCAAUGAAACCACCUAUAUUUGGACGUACUUCAGCAUUAUGUGAUGUCAUAAUGUGUGGAGAAGAAGUUCUCUAGGCAGAUAUUUCUAUCCAAGUAUUUCUCCUAGAUUCUCCAAUUGUUUUAUAAGAAUAUUGUAAAUUGUAAUUAUGAUUUGGUGUAAAUACAUUUAGAUGUUUUUAUGAUUGUAUAUUUGUCUUAAAACUGAAUGAAAGAAUAUUUGUGAACAGUUUAAUGUCUAGUCUUGUAUUUUGUAAGAAAAAUUCAAAAUGUAAAUCUAAUUGAAAUACACACUAUGUUUACAUAAAAAAUAGACCGAUCUCUAUUGAAUUCAUUUAUUUUCUGUGUUUUUGUUUCCAUAUUGCUUUAGAAUCUAUUUCAUGAAAACUCAGUUAUUUUCCUCUGCAUACGGAAAGGCAAUAUCAAUGACUAAACUUGAAAAUCACACAUUUUGGUUUGCAACGUUGCAGACAUUUCCUCUCAUUAUAUGCUCAAAUUUGAGCCCUAGUCACCUCGAUUUCUCAUUGACUUUUCCGGGUCUCCUACCCUGUUAGAAGACGAAUCCGUGAAAUUUCAAUGUAUGAAGUUUGGUCCCAUUUUU
Molecule: long non-coding RNA, 4181 nt
Filed under: Bemisia tabaci
Lineage: Eukaryota; Metazoa; Arthropoda; Insecta; Hemiptera; Aleyrodidae
Description: lncRNA ENSASIAIIG000168
Source: RNAcentral